Molecule: ribosomal RNA, 1163 nt
Filed under: Acinetobacter johnsonii
Lineage: Bacteria; Pseudomonadati; Pseudomonadota; Gammaproteobacteria; Moraxellales; Moraxellaceae
Description: bacterial SSU rRNA
Rfam family: Bacterial small subunit ribosomal RNA
Source: RNAcentral
UUAGGGGGCGGCUUACACAUGCAAGUCGAGCGGGGAAGGGUAGCUUGCUACCUGACCUAGCGGCGGACGGGUGAGUAAUGCUUAGGAAUCUGCCUAUUAGUGGGGGACAACAUUCCGAAAGGAAUGCUAAUACCGCAUACGCCCUACGGGGGAAAGCAGGGGAUCUUCGGACCUUGCGCUAAUAGAUGAGCCUAAGUCAGAUUAGCUAGUUGGUGGGGUAAAGGCCUACCAAGGCGACGAUCUGUAGCGGGUCUGAGAGGAUGAUCCGCCACACUGGGACUGAGACACGGCCCAGACUCCUACGGGAGGCAGCAGUGGGGAAUAUUGGACAAUGGGCGAAAGCCUGAUCCAGCCAUGCCGCGUGUGUGAAGAAGGCCUUUUGGUUGUAAAGCACUUUAAGCGAGGAGGAGGCUACCGAGAUUAAUACUCUUGGAUAGUGGACGUUACUCGCAGAAUAAGCACCGGCUAACUCUGUGCCAGCAGCCGCGGUAAUACAGAGGGUGCGAGCGUUAAUCGGAUUUACUGGGCGUAAAGCGUGCGUAGGCGGCUUUUUAAGUCGGAUGUGAAAUCCCUGAGCUUAACUUAGGAAUUGCAUUCGAUACUGGGAAGCUAGAGUAUGGGAGAGGAUGGUAGAAUUCCAGGUGUAGCGGUGAAAUGCGUAGAGAUCUGGAGGAAUACCGAUGGCGAAGGCAGCCAUCUGGCCUAAUACUGACGCUGAGGUACGAAAGCAUGGGGAGCAAACAGGAUUAGAUACCCUGGUAGUCCAUGCCGUAAACGAUGUCUACUAGCCGUUGGGGCCUUUGAGGCUUUAGUGGCGCAGCUAACGCGAUAAGUAGACCGCCUGGGGAGUACGGUCGCAAGACUAAAACUCAAAUGAAUUGACGGGGGCCCGCACAAGCGGUGGAGCAUGUGGUUUAAUUCGAUGCAACGCGAAGAACCUUACCUGGUCUUGACAUAGUAAGAACUUUCCAGAGAUGGAUUGGUGCCUUCGGGAACUUACAUACAGGUGCUGCAUGGCUGUCGUCAGCUCGUGUCGUGAGAUGUUGGGUUAAGUCCCGCAACGAGCGCACCCUUUUCCUUAUUGCCAGCGGGUUAAGCCGGGAACUUUAGGAACUGCCAGUGACAACUGGAGGAAGGCGGGACGACUCAGUCACAGGCCCUUA